This is a long non-coding RNA of Magnolia sinica, 2906 nucleotides long. RefSeq lists it as uncharacterized. The record is from RefSeq and is a predicted model, not a curated record. The transcript has 9 exons. NCBI's taxonomy places the organism in Eukaryota, Viridiplantae, Streptophyta, Magnoliopsida, Magnoliales, Magnoliaceae.
GUGAUUGUAUUUUAGGGAUAGUAUUGAGAGCCUAUUGUAUUGGUGAAUUAUAUCGAGAUGCCCCAACUAUCUUAAAAAGAGUGACCGACUCUAAAUUCUAGGUAGAAAUAAGAUUUGUCAUUUGCUAAGGGGCUGUUUGGCUAGUGGAAUUAAAGGGUGUCAGGAGGGAAUGGCUUUCAAGAACCCACGGAUUAUCGCAAGGUGGCGUUUGGGACUCACAUUAGAAAUGGGUUUCAAGACCUUCUUGGAAUCGUCGCCUAAGCAAUGGAUUUCUCAUAUCCAGCCUUGGGUUUCGUGUGGUGCUAAGUCACCUCUGCAGAAGAGCAGAAGCUCUUCAUACGGAGUAGACCAAAUUCCAUGGGAUUUGGAGGUUUUCCAUCAUCUCACAGCCGCAGCUACUAUGGCUGUCUGAGCAUAUACCGACGGAGAUCUCGUUUGAAUUCUUGGAGCGGACCUACCGCUGCGUCUGGUAGGUCGCUGGUAGCUUGAAGAUGGCGGUAGGAUGCUCGUUGCCCUGCGUGUAGCCCGUUACCGAAGGUGUUUCAAGUGAUUCAGAUUGAAGAGAAGGCCUCAUCUUAGUAGUUCUUAGUGCUGAUUCAUCACCACAACAGUCUUGAUUGUUGUUGUCCUAAGUUACUCGCGGAGAAAAAGAUGCGUGGUCUAGACUACGCGAUGAGAUCGCCGAACAAAUGUCAGAUGUCGAAAAUGUGAACUAGUCCUGGUGCGACACCUACACAAUCGCCCGAUAAAACUCCAACUCUUCCGAUGCAAUGUUCGCCUUGUGCAAAAUCCGCCAAAUCACUUGUUGAGCCAUCUUACCGAGCACAGAAAAUAAAGUGGACCAAUGUGAUGGAUCAAGUUAUGUUGAACACGUUGCUAGAGCAGAUUGCGCUAGGACGCAAAGCAGACAAUGGGUUUAAGAGGGAAGCAUACCAAGUUAUAGUUGAGGAGGUGUCAAAAGAAACUCAUGUGUACGUGAAUUGGUCAAAUGUGUAGAACCGUAUGAAGUAUCAUAAGAAAUGCUAUAAUGAUAUGAAAGAUAUGCUCGCUGUUAGCGGCUUCAAAUGGGACAACGACCGAAUGGUUGUAACAGCACUGAACGAAGUUUGGGAAGCCUAUAUCAAAUCUCAUUCACGAACUAAAAGACUCCGACGAAUGCAAAUCGAGAGGAUGGAUGAUUUAGUUGUUAUCGUCGAUGAUGAUCAAGCGAUUGGUCGUUACGUACAAGACAAUAGGAAUUUGGCUGCAUCCUCAUCACGUGUUCACCUAGAUUUAAAUGAAACAUGGUCAAAAGAGAAUGAGGAUAUGGAAGAUAGCGUGGAUCUGUCCGCUGACAAUUUAGGGGACUCGGCAAGGAAAUCGUGAUUUUCUACUGACAGUCAGUCCCAAGAAAAUCAUUCGGGUCAAAGUACACCCAAACGUACAUCUAAUUCUAAGAAUAAACAUGGCGAGAGUACUACGACGAAGCGGAUGUGUCCUGGUCGUCCUUACGAGUACUCGGCAAGUCUCUAACUAAUAUUGCCCAGGCCAUGCAUGAUUUUGGUCUUGGAAAGGAAGUGAACCGUACCAGUAAAGUGUUGGAUAUCCUUGAAGAGGUGCAGGGGUUGACCAACUCUGAGUUCAUCAACGUUGGCCAGCUCCUGUCCAAGAACAAACAACUUGUUUCCUUCUUUGUUAGUCUCCAUGACGAAUGCUGCGUGGAAUGGUUGAAACAAAUUCUCCGUAGUUCUCAGAAAAAUGUUGGUGGUGCAGAUCCAUGAUAAGCCAUGUUUUAUAUAUGUUACAAACUUAGUAGACGUUUGUGCUAGUGUCUUAUACUCAUGAUAGAUGGGAAAAGGAAAGAAAUAUUAUGUUGUAGUGGUCGGCUGCCGACCGGUAUUUAUUUAUCUUGGGAAGAGACAAGGCUGCUGGUUGAAGGAUACAGAGGAUGUGAUCAUCACUCUUUCAAAUCGUUGGAAGAGGUGAGUGAAUGGUGGAAUUAUAAAUAAAGCACUGGUGUUACAGAGUUUGUGGGCGAAGGGACUGAAGUGCAAAACAAUCUUGCGUGUAGAACUUCAUCUUCAAAUGAGGUAAUCAAUAUAACCCAACCAUGCUUGGUGGGCCAACGUACAAUCCUAAGCCUGUCUUCUACAGCUACGUUCACGGAGGGGAACCCCAUGAAUGGGCAACAACGUAUUACACUGACUUCGGUAUUGAUUGGGAUAUGUGUUGUUUUUUUUACUUUGUAUGUUAUUAUUAAGUUUUAGAUCAAGUCAUUAUAUUAUAGAUGAAUUGAUGAUUGCCACAAUGCUAAACCAAACAAGCCAAGUAUAUAAUUUAGUAUAUGAAUUUUGUCUUGGAUCUUUAUUCUAAUGGCACAUUUGGUAUGUUAUGAUUUUCCCAUCAGUUGGGAGACUAGGCUGACAUAGUUACAUUCAGUUCCAUUUUCAUAGUCUUAAAGUUUUGUAAGACAUAAUAUUUGAUAUGACCAUACGAAUUAUGAGAAUAUGGAUAGUUUGAUGCCAUUGGUGAUAUGGGUGAGUAAAUGACAAUCUUUUACAUAUACUAAUAUGAAACUACAACAGCUUCUUAAUACAACAUACUUAUCUUUUGGAGUAAUACUUCUUAUGGCAUAGAUAUUUGAUGCGACAUAGACCUCCACGUCACAGCCGUUUCCUAUAUACCUAUUCUGAUUCAACAGUUUGUGGGAGGAGCUAUUGCAGUACCCCUUCUAGGGGAUUUGACCAUCCAGUCUAGAAUACCCACCAUGUCUACGGGAAUCGGUACUGUUGGAUUUCACCCCUGUACGCGAUACAAGUUCAUCGAUGUUGGCUGAGCAUGAUAUCUUCUCACAAUGUUGAAUGCACACGUACUUUUGGAAUGUAAUCAUUCAGUUUCAUUAAUGAUCUAGUGGCGAAAUAAGUAAA